This is an unclassified non-coding RNA of Capra hircus (goat), 203 nucleotides long. Lineage: Eukaryota; Metazoa; Chordata; Mammalia; Artiodactyla; Bovidae. The record is from Ensembl.
GGUUGACUGAUUGUACCUGCCAGCUGGCUAAUAUCAUAAUUAACAAAGUUGCUACUACGUCUGCAAAGUUUAAUCGAAAAAUUUGCCAGUGAUAUUAUGGCAUUGUCACAAAGAUCACAAGGGACUCGGAGUCGACUUUCGCUCAAGGUGGAAUGGCAGAGCUGUGGAGGCAAAAGGAGAAAUCUUGAACUUGUUCAGCCAAA